CCUACGGGAGGCAGCAGUGGGGAAUAUUGCACAAUGGGGGAAACCCUGAUGCAGCGACGCCGCGUGAGUGAAGAAGUAUUUCGGUAUGUAAAGCUCUAUCAGCAGGGAAGAAAAUGACGGUACCUGAUUAAGAAGCCCCGGCUAACUACGUGCCAGCAGCCGCGGGAAUACGUAGGGGGCAAGCGUUAUCCGGAUUUACUGGGUGUAAAGGGAGCGUAGACGGCAGCACAAGUCUGGAGUGAAAUGCCGGGGCUUAACCCCGGAACUGCUUUGGAAACUGUGCAGCUAGAGGGCAGGAGAGGUGAGUGGAAUUCCUAGUGUAGCGGUGAAAUGCGUAGAUAUUAGGAGGAACACCAGUGGCGAAGGCGGCUUACUGGACUGUAACUGACGUUGAGGCUCGAAAGCGUGGGGAGCAAACAGGAUUAGAUACCCGAGUAGUC
This 440-nucleotide ribosomal RNA is filed under the name uncultured bacterium. RNAcentral describes it as "partial 16S ribosomal RNA". It matches the Rfam family "Bacterial small subunit ribosomal RNA", at positions 338 to 795 of the family's 1533-position model. The record is from RNAcentral.